This 539-nucleotide long non-coding RNA is filed under the name Sphaeramia orbicularis (orbiculate cardinalfish). RNAcentral describes it as "lncRNA (ENSSORG00005004098.1)". Lineage: Eukaryota; Metazoa; Chordata; Actinopteri; Kurtiformes; Apogonidae. The record is from RNAcentral.
CACAAACAUACAAUGCAUGAAAACACAGUCAGUUUCACCUGGGGACGGUCUGAUUAGUUUUAUGGCAAAAAAAAAAAAAAUCCUGAUUUCCUGGUACUCUCUGGUCUUUACAGGCGACGACAAGAUUACUCCUCCAAGUCCAUCUGUGCCACGACCAACCAACAGUCCAGAAACACCGAUUAAAUCGACACCAAGAAUGGUGACUGCAUCGACACAAACCAAAGACGACAACACCAAGACAAUAACAAUGAGUGAACCACCACACACAGCUGCAUCUGAACCACAGCCUCUGAGUUUGAUCAUUGGGAUACCUGUCCUCUGCCUCGUCCUCCUCCUCCUCUUCAUCCUCUGCCUUAUUUCUAGACGCAGGUUGAAAAGACGAGUGGUUACAGAAUCCCACCCUGUUUAUGAGGAAAUCCAGGAUCAGGUGGAGUUUCAGGCCAUCAACGGUGAGAAAUGAAAGCUGGUUUCCACUCACACCUGUUCCUCUUCUUCAUUAUUAUUAUUAAUCUGGUGUAAAAGUGAACUCUGCACAGUUU